UCGUAGAUUUGAUAAUUAGAUUUGCUAAAAAACUUCAAAUCAUUUUGUUCUUAAUCAAAAUAUGGUUCAUCGACUGGAAAAUAUGGACUUUGGAAAUGGGUUUCGAUUAAAAUAGCUAGUGAUUGAUCAGGAAAUCGUCUCAUAGAACAUAAAGUUUGUCCGCAAAUUUCCUUUCCGGAAAUCAUUUGAUUCGCCCACCAUCCGGCCAGCGUUUCAUGUUUCACCUCGAAGCUGGAAAAUAUAUUCGCCCUCUUUUCCUAUUUUCUGCGUGGGACGUGCAUUCAAGCGCGGUGAUUCAUCGAGGCAGCUGGAUUUUGGAGCACCUUCUACGUCGCGUUAUGAGCGACUUUUGUUGACGUACGUGCAUAACCGGCCAUGCAUUUAUGCUCCAUCAAGACGUCACGUCCUCGUGACCUGUGCUUAGUUGUGUGCACGUCAAUAUAUGUUUAUGUAUACGCUGUAUCGAGAAAUACGUCAAGGGCACGACCGCAGAACUGAAGAUUCACGAUGGAAAAUCACGUAAUGGAAAAAAAAAAAAGCUUCGCGAAAAUCAAUGAAUAUCAGACACGGAUGGACAAGUAUCGCGUGUAAUCGGAUGGCCAUUAAUAUCAGUCCGCCUCGUUGAUAUAAUUUCAUCGGUCGGCGUUUAUCCCGGAAAUGGCUUUCACUUUCUCCCCCACUGGAGGUGGUAACUUUCACUAACGAGGCCUCUGCGAAAACUGGCUCGUGCGCGUAUGUAUACACGAUCGGCGGAGAGGAGAGGAGAGAAAAGGGAGAAAGAGAGAGAAAAGGAAAAAGAAGAAAGAAUCGGGUUUCUGGGUCGGUAAAGGCGAACAAAGGCGAUCCUCCUUGUUGUCCCUUCGUCCUCGCUCGCACGGCUUCGUGAAUUUUUGUCGGUCAAUGGAUGGAUGGGAUAUUCGACGAUCGAAAUUUCCCUUCCACUCGGAUGGGAUGGAUGACAUUGAGAACGAUUAGUGUACAAUGUCGUGAAGAAUGCCCGUUGUAUUAUACCUGGAAUGUUUGAAGAUAUAAACGUUUGAAGCAAUCGCUAAAUGUGAAAUUUCAUCGGGAUCAAAAGUUCGUACAACUCAAGUUGCACUAUGAUUUUCAGUUGGAAACAAUAGGAGUUCAGGGUUCAACAAACCCGAGUCCGAGCCGGAGGAGGAGGAAUCGCGGCAGGAAGAUAAAGGAGCGAGAAGCGAGCAAGCUUUUAUCCGCGGUUGCCAAUUAUCAAGCGGGGAAGAGCGAUCUCGGUCACCCUUCAAGAUCUGACCUGACCUCGGAUCGGAAUUGAAGCGUCGGGGACUUAAAGCGUACAGUGGCCGGCAAUCCUGGCCAAUCAGCGGACAAACAGACGCGCCGGGAAUAAAGAAGUUAAUUCAAUCUUUGCACGUCAAAAUCGCAAUGGAGGAUUUCGUAGCCCCGUUUAAAAAUAACUAUUAACAUGUAAUUCAAAAAGAAAUGACGUGCGAAUAUCUGUUGAAGUAUUUCCGUUCAUCCGUCGAUCUUGAAAAUUUUUAAGAGUCUUUUUGCGUCAGUGGAACCACCCCUGAUUGUUUUAGAUGUCAAUCUCAAGACGAUCUUAAUGGCCUUUUAAGCGAUAAUUGAUUUAUGUCAAAUUUUAUGUAAUGGAAAAUCGGAAGAUUUGUAUGCAAACAAUUUGAAAAUACUUCGAAAAUUGAAAGAUGGAAAAUUUGGGGAGUACGAAGAUGGGAAAAGAACUCGAAUAUUCAAAAAUUAAAAAGACUCAACGAUUGAAAAACGGACCUUGUCGCGAAACAAAGACGGUGGAGAUGAAUUUCAAAGUGCAAAACUCUCGACUGCGAGUCUCGCGUGCUUCAAUCUAGAAAAAAAGAAAGAAAUGUUGCGUCGAGAAGGCGAAGUCGCUUUGCGAUUUCAAGUGCGAUUCAUUUAGCAAAACGAAAAGUCGAGUGGCUUCUCGCUCGAGACUGACGCCACUUGUCGGCGAAGAAACGAGGAAUUAAAAGGAAAAGCGUGUUAAAGGGGAAAGGCUUCGACCAUCCCCCUUUCAACAUUUCCGUAACCAAUAAUGAAAUUCCCUUUUUUCGUUUCGUUACACGCUCAUCGAGCCACUCGUCGAUCUGAAGAUUAAAUUAAGCAUGUUUCAUUUCCCUCGAUUGUUCCCGGAAACGAGCGAAAAAUAUUUUAUACAGCGGGGAGAUUGAAUUUAAAAUUAAAGCAGAGACGUAUUAAUUCCUGCUAAGGAUGAAAGUGCGAAAGAAGUUGAAGGUUGGUAAAUUAGAUCCAUUCUGUAACUAUCGGCUAUUUAAGAACCGAUCGUUAAUUAUCAAUUUUCUAACGAAUAAAUAAUAGCGUGUUCCGAUACAAUGCGAGGCAUAUAUAAUACACUGUCCUCGUUUUGCAGGAAUGCAAUUCGCUGUUAUUCCAUUAGCAACGAUAGUUUGUGCAACGGUUUAAUUACUUUAGACGUAUCCUUGAAACUGAUAUCGUGCUUUGAAUUGUAAAUUUAGAUAAUCAGAUAAUGCGUUAUAAUUAACGAUAUAGAAUAUCUACCGUCCACAGGGAUUGGGACAAUUAUGGAAAAAUAGAACAAAUAAAAAAGAAAUUAGGAAAUUAUUGAAAGCUCUAUUAGAAGAAUUAAUUUUCAUGAUAAUUGUUGUGAUAAAAUGAAAACUUCUUGAAAUAGUAUCUCCUUUUAGAUACGAAUGAAAUUUCAUUUAUUGACAAGUUUUUCAAGAAUCGACGAAGCAUAUUGGAUUACUCGAUCGAUCGAUUAAAUUUCCCUUCUCUUUUUGAAUUUCAUAGAUUUGAAUUUAAUUUAAAAAAAUCUACACCCGUCACUUUUCCUCCUCGACUUGAACAAAAAUAUUUUCAACAAUUCUUUGCUUUCUUCUUCUUCUUCCUGCAAUUUCAGAUAAAUUUAAAAAAAAUCGAAGCGCAAUUCAAUUUGGAAAGAAUAGAAAUAAAAAGAAGAAAAACACGAGCAGAUAAGCCACGGUAAAUAGCUGCCUGUUGCUGUUCUCAAGGGGGUGGAAAUGUGGUAGGUCGUUGCUAGCCGGGUUGUGCACCCCACUCUGCAAGCUGCAUCGAUCGGCUCUAGCCGGUGCAACAACCCACGCAUACUGACCCCAUACGUCCUUGUAGCUCGCGGAAGGAUAACCAGGAUACGGUGUUUUUGAACCUCGACAUUUUGCGUUGACAAACACCGACAAAAAUAUUUUAAUUUUUAUUUUACCUCCUCCUUCGAUCAUAAGAUUCGAUCGCAAGGUAUUUUUUCUUCCAAGAACAAAGAGAAGGAGAGGAUUGAAAAAGUGACGAGCUCGAGAGGGUUUGUUUUGCGAAUGAUAAAACUGUAACGAAAUUUUUCACCUUAAUUACGAUAUCAUUUAACGGAUUCGAUUAACUUGGAAGCGUUCCCGGAACACGCGCGUGGAACUAAUUGUUUCGAAACUUGUUUGGUACACAUCUAUCGAUUUGCAUACGCGUUCUCGGUAGCGGAUCAUUGAAUCGCAAAACGAUCUCCACUCGAGUAUCGAGAACUUGGUUAAAUAACGUUAAUGGACAUAAAUACAAAAAUUCUUGGAAUUAUGCGAGCCGUGAAAACGCUCGUCGAACGGUUUCAAGAAUUAAAUUCCUCCUCGUAAUUUAUUCCACGUGUUGAUUAAUUAAAAUCCCCCCACUUCGAUCAGGCUUACUGGAUUACUUUUGUUUUACGAACGAAGAGAGCUUUGAUUAUUCUCUUUCUUUUGUGACUAUUAUACAAAUGUUUACGGAUUCGUUUGAAUCGAAUGGGAAAUCGACUUUGCUUUCGCCGUUCUUACAGUUAGAAUUUGCUUUGAUCGUUGAAAUUUGACCUUCCGUUAUCGAGCAUGUGUCGCGAAGACUUGGAUAUGUCAGAGGUUAUUAUAUGCCGCGUGAGAAUGCGAACAAUGUUGGGUAAAUGCGUGUGGAACUUCACUUGUUUGGAUUUUUAUUUGUUUCGAUCGAGCCAAAAUAUUUUAUCUUCCAAAUUUACGGGUAUAAAAUAUAAUUACUCCUAAUAUAAUGCUCAUUUGUGUACGCAAAAAAUACUUUCUCCAUUAAAAUUGUCGAAAGAAAGAAAAGAAGAAAUGAAAACGAGUGUUAAAAAUUUUUAAUUGGGAACGAAGGACAAGGUAAGUACCUUUUGCGCGCAACAAUGCAAACACGAGCGGACAAAUUAGAAAUUCGGAACACGUUAUUGCUGUUUUUUCAAUUAUGAAACUACUAUAACUCGUGUUCUUGACCCGGGGUUUAAUAACGUUUGCACAACGGAAUGAAAGAAUCCUAUAGCAAAGACCUCGGAGGAUCGAUAUUGUUCAAAAUUCUUUUCGAUGGUCCUCAAUUUCGCUUUCGAAACUUCAAUUUGCAGGCGAUUAGAAAAAUUUCGAUCCGAGAAUUAACGUUCGUCGGACUGGAACGAAUAACAACGGGACAGUGCGACGUGGGGGAAUGGGUUCGGGGUCUUGCGAGGUCGUCGCGAUGAAAUCACCCGGGAAUUGGUAUUAAAAAAAAAAAAAGGAAAAAAAAAAAGAGGAAGAAGAAAUCUUAGUCACCCGCACAUUAUUCAUACCGAAGCGUUAUACAAGUAUCGGUGUUAAUCGAGGUUAAUAUUUAACUUCCGGUGAGAUGAAUACAUCGAGUCGAAUAUCGGAAUAUCGUUCUCUUCAAAUUAUGCAGAAUAAGGAAGCAGAUGCAAAAUAAAGUUUAUUAGAUUUACACACAAUGUACGUCGUUGUAAAAACAGAAAAAAAAAAAAAAGCAAUCUUAUCCAAGCACCAAGUGAUAAGACGCAAUAUAUAGCAAUAUAUAGCAAUAUAUAGCAUAUAAGAAAAAUGAAAUUUUGUUGUUUAAGUGAUGAUUAAUCUUGCGAAUUUUAAUUUUUGGAACAUGCAAUUUUUCAACAUUCUUUUCGUUAUUAUUACUUCACCGAAGUUAAAUUCUUAAUUAAUUUAAUCGACUACCAUCAACUUUCGAUAAAUUGAUUCAAUUAAUUUUUUUUUAAUCCCUCUUACUUACCAUUGAAUUGCGUCUGUGCGACACCUGUGUCUUUACCAGACUGCAUCCUACGCGAACUUAAACGCUCGGUUUAAUACACAAGCACGGCCGAACCUUGACACGAUUCUUCUACUUCUCACAAUUGAGAAUAUGAACUAGCUAAAGGCGACCAAACUUCGCCGUAUCUAAUUGUAAGCAAGAUCGCUCGUUAGAAUAUAUUCUAGGAUAAAGCUUAUAAAUAACUCUGCUCCACGUUUGACCAAACAAAUCACUUGCGGAUAAUCUUUAAUCUUAUUCUACCGGCUUAACUAUUCAAUAAUUUCAUUCACAGAAACUCGAAAAACUCGUGGAAACAUUUUUUCGAUAUUAGAAUUAUUCGAACACUUUUCAACCAAAGGGGAUUAUAUUACAAUCUUUCUAUUUUCACCUUAUAUUCGAAUAUUACGAAAAAAAACCCCGAUCCAAUCGAUGAUGAGGGUUAACGAUGUCCUUGAAACACAUUGUACAUGGAAUAUCAAGCCCGAUGGAGACAACAUACAUAGAGAGGAGAAUCGGAACAAAGGAGAUCGGCCAAUGAGACGGCCGAGUACAUAUUUCAUACGAUUUCGGAGGAUGGCAAUUGGUCGAGAAAAGGGGACGGGGUUACGGAACAGAAGAAGUUACCGCCUUUUGUUUCGAUCGACCCCGGGGUUUAAUUAAUCCACCUCGUCGUGUUGACGCGAAAUUAAGGACGGCCGGGAAUUAUUAACUAAUUGUGGAGGCCUUACGCGACAUUCUUGGCCGCGUUUUAGGUUCACCUAGCCGCCCUGACCGGCCGGCCGGCUGGAAUCGUGUCAAGGUCCUCGAUAGACUGAACUUCGGCCGUUACAAGUGUUGGAGGCGCACAAGGAGUGGAAGGCCUAGCGCCAAGGCAAUCUAGAUGGCGUGGGGUGGCCAUCGACGUGGAAAGAUAAAUUUUUCAUUACGAUUUUGUUGACACUAACUUAACCCCUCUUUCGAGGGCCGAGGAUGGACGGACUCGGUUCGUAUACCGAUUCAUGCUUUCUUCUUCUCCACGGAUAUUAAUUAUCAGCAUGAGAAUUUUAUUUAAUUUCUUUCCCGAAAUUUCUCGUUAAAUCUCUACUAAUUUUUAUAGAACUCGGAUGCAGUAAUAUUAUGUUAUUACGCAAGGGGAGGGCGUUAUUAAAUUAUUGCAUAAUAGGAGUAAUAAGUGUAACAAGAGGUGUUUACAUUACGUUUUAUUCGGCAGGAAUUAUAUAAGACUUUAUUAUUUAAUUUGACGUGUUAUAAUAUGGAGUUAUUACAAUAUGUUGUAACGAUAUUACGCAACGGAAAAUAAUUCACGCUGAUGAUAUUUCAAUUAUUGGGAUGUAACGGGGGAAGGAUUACGGAUUGGCAGCCGUUUCGUAAUUCAUUGGUUUUAGAGGGGUAUUUUAUCCCCCACAGAGUGCAUCCUUGGCAAAGGAAAUUGAGGAAUAAUAAUUCGAUUAAUCGUUGCACUUCUUGGCCAAACGAAGGAAGAAUUUAGAUCCAUUUCGUCUUACAAACUUUUCCCAAUAAUUCUAUUUAUUUACGUUUCACGCUCUUUGCUUCUUUCUUUUUUCGAAAAUCGGUUGAACGUUUUAUUUCCACUUUUCAAAAGACUAGGGAAAACUCAGGAAGAUCAACAAAACGGAGUUGUAUUAUUUUUAAAAAUAUACUUAAAUCCAUAUAAAAGUGUCUAUAUUAUUUUUCAAUUACCCCGCGGAGGAAUGUUAACGAGAAGAUGGAAAGCUGCAAGAUAACCGAUCAGUGUUCCAUCGUGCGCCAGGGAUCACCUGUUUGUCGUCGGAUGACGAUCAUCUGGUAUGCCAGAGAUCCGAUCCGUUUCCAGCGACGAAGGACGAUUUCUCUUCCUUUCGUCAUAUUAGUUGAGCAGAGCCUGCGAGCGCGUAGUAUCAGGACCUUGAAAAGGGGGUCGCACCUGCAUCCCACCUCACGAGUCCCCGCUCGCUUUCCACCUGAGGAGAUAGACCAACUGGAAAGUAUGGGCGAUAAGCAUAAAGAGGCGAUUCUUAUUCGAAGAAUAUUUCCUUUGUCGAGUUGGAGAGAGAGAGCUCGUAAAGAUUUAUUAAUAUUAAGGAUCUUCUUUCACCUGCUUCGAGAAAUUGUUGGCCUUUAACAAGAGAGAAAGAUCUUGCUCGUCGAAAUUGUUUGGACACGUGCGAAUUGCACGGUUUUUAAUACGCAUAUAUCUUGCUCAAUCGCUCGAUAAUAAACCUCCUUCAAAGUUUGAUUCGAUUUCAUGGUUGAUCGAGUAGAAUCGGCGUUUUGGAACGAAACGCGAGAUUUCAUUCAGGUUGAAUCUUUCGAUAGAUUUCAUUGCUCGAGAUAUUAACAAGUUCGGCCGAUUAUUUUCUUUUUCACUAAGCGAUUUAUCCUUCCAGGAAAACGAAACGAAAAAAGAAACGAGGAAAAGAUGGAGUGUUCUAAACGAUGUUCUAAACGAAGGAGAAAAAUUGGAUCGUUACCUCGCAAUUUCAUCAAUAUUAUGUCAGAUUUCUCCCCGCCCGUCCGAGGUUAUUUUCGUUUCGAUCCUCCUUGCCUGGAGGAUUGCGCGUGUUUUCAAGACGACAGACGAGUCGGUGAAAGAAGCUCGUGCCCGGUUUUCGGGCACGUGGAGGGCAGGCCGCCUCCUUCGCCGCGAACAGGGUCGAACAGUGUGAACACAAUGUGUGGAAUACAUUGAAUAAAAAACGAGCAGGUGGUUGGGACGAGCAGCGGUCUCCUCCAGCCAACACCUGCCAGCCAACGAAAUGCUUUUUUACGGUGAUAUCAAACUCCGUACCGCACAUCUUGCCUUUCCAAGGAUCCACUUUAUCCCCAUAAAUACAACAGAGGACGCGUAAAAUUGAGUCAAAUGAAUACUAAAUAUUAAUCCUCGUUAAAUUAAUUUCGAUUCCUCAAAGAGAGGGAUGUUUCUAUUCUUCCGAGUACAUAAAACGGAAUCAAUUGUCUCUUCGAAUGGUUAUAGAUCGAUUAAUUAAGUAUUUAAACAUUCGAAGAUCUCACUACUCGAUAAUGGAAAAUACGAUUCCAUGGAAUUAUUCUAUAUAGUCUUCAUCGAGGAGAGGUUUAUCAAUCGAACUUUACAUAGGCUCAUCACGCGUGGCGCGUGUGACCUACAUAGGAGGCGGCAUAAAAAUUGUGUUCCCGACAGUCAUGUGCCAAACACACGGGAUCCAGGGUGUCCGUCUGGCGUGACGACCCAGAAAAUCGACGUUGUUGAAACACCUGGCCGGCCACCUUCCUCGCGGCUCUACCACGUGACCCGGGCCCAGUCCUUGAUAGACCGAAUACAUAAUUUGUGUAUUAAAAAAAAGGGAAGAAAGAAAAAAAGGAAUGGAACGAUUAAUCUGACCCCUCGAUAACGGUCAUCCGUUACGCACAUCCGUUUCAAACGUCGCCUUUCCUCUGCACUCAGGCCCAAUUACUCGUUUCCGACGUGGAACGCCACUAUUUUCUUCCGUUCAACCUUCGCCCUCCCCUCGGGGAGGGAUUUAUAUUUGGUCGAAUGUUAUUGCAUCGAGGUUCUUUUCCCUUUUUUUAACAUUAAUAGAUAUUAAUAGACAUCUUUGCCAUCCGGACAAGUAAGAAAUGGAAUUAAAUCGAAUUGAAUUUUGACGUUUGAAGAUUGGAAAUGAAAAGAAUUAUAUCGUGGCAUAUAUCUGCCUGUGUUAUGAGUCACUUUAUUUCUUCGUGUUGACGAGUGUACAGGCAUGAACACUCUUAAUCCGGCCAAUUGGGUAUAAUGAUGCCCAGUGCACGUUUUUAAAAUUACUUAUUUAUGGGCAAUGGUCAAUUAAAUGUUUAAUUAUACGGAAGAGGCAUAAAUUACGAUAAAUUAUAAGAUAGUUAACCGUGAACGGUCUAAAAAGAGAGCCAUGGAAAAGAUCAAAAGUUAUUCUAUAAUCUAACCCAAUUAUCCCAUAAUUGUCCUGUACGAAGGGCAGGCUUUUAUUAUUAUUUAAAGUACCGAAAAUUAAAUUGGAAUCCUCUUCAAACGAACCUUAAUCUUAAUCUUGAUCAAGAAGGAUCCGAUUUGUUCCACGAUGAGAUAAUCCAAGGGGAAUCGUUGUUUCAGAAGAAAAGAUUUUCACGAGAUUUCUUGUCCAUCUUGUACCAUGCAACGAAAAUACCUCCAAUGUUUCGUCCACGGGUAUCUUGGAAAUAUCGAGCAACGACCUCGAAGGAGGAGGAUCGGUCGGGCAGAUGGCCGACUCGUGGUGCCCCGAAAAACGAAGAUGUCCAAUCACUACCUUGGCCGGUGGUGUUGGGUUCGACCCGGCCGAGACUCUCGCUUUCGACUCUCCAACAGUUGCGAAAACAGGAUUCUGGGUCGAGAUGCACGAUUUCUCGAUGAAUUUUCAACUUUCCUUCCUAAAAAAGUUUAAAUUUGACCAAGAUUGAACUUCAAUAAUCCUCUCUCGCGCCUCUGUCUCGUUGUACCAUCAUUAUCAUUAGUUUGGAUUUUUUUUUAAAUUUCUUGAAGUGGAGUAAAAGUAGUAUUACGAGUAAUUCUCCAAAUUUGUUCAAACACACUUGUUUGCUGUUGAAAUAAUAAUAAUAAUAAUGGAAAUAAAUUGAUCUGGAAGAAAGAGAGAUCUCGCAUCUGUCCAAAAUCAGAAUCAGAGGGGUCGGUUGAAAUUAAUUUCGAGUAUCGAAGAAUGGAAGAAAGUAAGAAACAAAAUUACGGCGCCUGAUGCCUCGAUAAAGAUGGCUGAUGGACGAUAAUUAAUAUUUUCUCCGGUAACGUGUUAUUAACCAACGAUACGAUUAUUUAAUCUCGAGACUCGGGGGAUCUAUGCAAUAAGAAUACACCGAUUAUCGCGUGCUUGUUCGAUUAUCCCGCUCGUUCCAGACUCUAUAUCUCCCCACCUUUUCGAAUUCUUGCUCGUUUUUCCCAGUUGGACCACCCGAAAGCGGUGCAUCCAUCCGGGUAAGACGAGGGUAACUCGAGAUCCCGAGACGUUCAUGCAGGUACCCUUCUCUUCCUCUUUGUUUCUUCGUCAAUUCAACCUUUGACCCUUUGUUUUCAAUUAUCAUUCAUUAUUACUAUUUUUAUUUAAUUAAUAGAAUCAAUUUUUGAUCUUUAUAUACAUAUAUAUAUUCAUAUAGAUUGUUGUUAAACGUGUGUAGAUUUAAGAAAGGAUUUUUGAAGAAUUAUUUUCACUUUUUUUGAUUUAGAUUGCAAAAGUUUAAAAGUUGAAGUUGAGGAUUCAAUUGUUUAUCAAUUGUAGGUUAUAUUAUUCUUGAAGAGGAAAAAUUUUCGAAACAUUUAUCCUUUAAUUUUAACUUUUCGAGAUUUGUUUGCACUUUUGCAAAUGUUACGUUUCCAAAAUGUCAAAUAUUUAUCCAUCAACUUGUCAAAGCGGAUGAUAAAAAUUCGAAGGGAAAUAAUGAUAUUAAAUAUCUCGAUGAAUAAUUAAAUUUACAUUUGCAUCGACAUUUUGACCUCAAAUUUAAUCUCUCCUCCCAAGUUAUUCCUCAUAUCGAGAUGGAACAAAGUUGACGAGGUAAUUGGAACGUUAAAAUUACGAUAAUUAAAAUCGAUAUCUUGAAAGAAAUACUCUGGAUAACGUAGAACCACCCUUAUCUCAUUUCUCCACCUCAUCUCUUUCUCCCCGACAAAAGUUCCACCACUUGUGUUUCCUCUCGACUCUUCGACCUCUGCGGGAGAUUCACUCCUUAAAGUGAAAUCCGCUCGUAAGGGCAAUCGCGAGAGGAAAUUGUCGAGGAGCUCCAAUUACUCGACCGUUUCCGCUUUCUUUCGAUCUUCACGCUGAAUUUCCACGAACUCGGCCCUCGUCUCGAGGUCGGCUCGAAGGCGUCGCCGAAAAGGCGUCUCUGUUUUGUAUUCGAUGCACGAAGCCAAUUAUCGGAAGAGUUUCCACGGUGUUCGAAGCCUGGCUUCGACCUUGGCUGGAUGAAUAGCUCGAUCGUAGCUUCCCUUGGAUAGAUACGAUUAGAAACGUUUUCAAUGGCGCAGCUUCCGUGCAAGACAAUCCCCGUUUAUCGAUCUCGUCCCUUCGAAUAAUUCCCUUUCUUCAUUUCUCUUUGCUUCGUAUUCCAAGCUGAGAUCUUAUUACUUAAUAAGGAAUAGACAUAGGCAAUUGUCUCUUAUUUAAACAAACUUAAAAAACUUUCUUCUCAUCCCGCUCUUCGAAAAAAGGAAAUUCAUUCGUUGCUUUGUUACAAAUAAAACCUCUCGAAAUUCCCCCAAGAAAAUCCUAUCUUUCCACCAACGUACCCAACAAUCCUUUCCUUUUUCCCUCCAUCUUUUCCAUCACUAUUCAUCGAUGCACUAUCCUU
Apis cerana (Asiatic honeybee) is the source of this 11349-nucleotide long non-coding RNA. RefSeq lists it as uncharacterized. NCBI's taxonomy places the organism in Eukaryota, Metazoa, Arthropoda, Insecta, Hymenoptera, Apidae. The record is from RefSeq and is a predicted model, not a curated record.